UACCGGCGGCCCGAGUGGCGGUCACUAUUAUUGGGCUUAAAGCGUCCGUAGCCGGGUUGGGAAGUCCUCCGGGAAAUCUGGCCGCUUAACGGUCGGAAUGCCGGAGGAUACUCCCAGCCUAGGGAGCGGGAGAGGCCGAGGGUAUUCCCGGAGUAGGGGUGAAAUCCUAUAAUCCCGGGAGGACCACCUGUGGCGAAGGCGCUCGGCUGGAACGCGUCCGACGGUGAGGGACGAAGGCCAGGGGAGCAAACCGG
This 254-nucleotide ribosomal RNA is filed under the name uncultured microorganism. RNAcentral describes it as "partial 16S ribosomal RNA". It matches the Rfam family "Archaeal small subunit ribosomal RNA", at positions 474 to 727 of the family's 1478-position model. The record is from RNAcentral.